AAUGAACGCUGGCGGCGCGCCUAAUACAUGCAAGUCGAGCGAGAAGACGUAGCAAUACGUUUGUAAAGCGGCGAACGGGUGAGGAAUACAUGGGUAACCUACCCUCGAGUGGGGAAUAACUAGCCGAAAGGUUAGCUAAUACCGCGUACGCUCCUUGGACUUCGGUUCAGGGAGGAAAGCGAUACCGUGGGUAUCGCGCUCUUGGAUGGGCUCAUGUCCUAUCAGCUUGUUGGUGAGGUAACGGCUCACCAAGGCUUCGACGGGUAGCUGGUCUGGGAGGACGAUCAGCCACACUGGCACUGCGACACGGGCCAGACUCCUACGGGAGGCAGCAGUAAGGAAUAUUGCGCAAUGGGCGAAAGCCUGACGCAGCGACGCCGCGUGGGGGAUGAAGGUCUUCGGAUUGUAAACCCC
This 414-nucleotide ribosomal RNA is filed under the name uncultured bacterium. RNAcentral describes it as "bacterial SSU rRNA". It matches the Rfam family "Bacterial small subunit ribosomal RNA", at positions 29 to 433 of the family's 1533-position model. The record is from RNAcentral.